Molecule: ribosomal RNA, 467 nt
Filed under: uncultured bacterium
Lineage: Bacteria
Description: partial 16S ribosomal RNA
Rfam family: Bacterial small subunit ribosomal RNA
Source: RNAcentral
GACGAACGCUGGCGGCGUGCUUAACACAUGCAAGUCGAACGGAAAGGCCCUGCUUUUGUGGGGUGCUCGAGUGGCGAACGGGUGAGUAACACGUGAGUAACCUGCCCUUGACUUUGGGAUAACUUCAGGAAACUGGGGCUAAUACCGGAUAGGAGCUCCUGCUGCAUGGUGGGGGUUGGAAAGUUUCGGCGGUUGGGGAUGGACUCGCGGCUUAUCAGCUUGUUGGUGGGGUAGUGGCUUACCAAGGCUUUGACGGGUAGCCGGCCUGAGAGGGUGACCGGCCACAUUGGGACUGGGAUACGGCCAGGACUCCUACGGGGGGCAGCGGUGGGGAAUAUUGCACAAUGGGCGGAGGCUGGAUGCAGAAACGCCGGGUGCGGAAGGACGGCCUUCGGGUUGUAAACGGCUUUCGCCUGUGACGAGGCGUGAGUGACGGUAAUGGGUAAAGAAGCACCGGCUAACUACGU